This 242-nucleotide unclassified non-coding RNA is filed under the name fungal sp. RNAcentral's name for it is "partial internal transcribed spacer region". The stretch from base 1 to 46 matches the Rfam family "Eukaryotic small subunit ribosomal RNA", at positions 1786 to 1831 of the family's 1831-position model. The record is from RNAcentral. Lineage: Eukaryota; Fungi. RNAcentral also lists the same sequence under 1 other name.
AAGUCGUAACAAGGUUUCCGUAGGUGAACCUGCGGAAGGAUCAUUAACACGUACCCAACGUUAAACAACCCUGUGAACUUUCAACGCUCUUGUAACCAGGCGGAACAGCAAUCCCGGUAAAUCCGUGGGCGGAAAAGUUUUGAUUCGGGACCUCUGUCCAAAAGAAUCGAGCUAGGAGCAGUGGCACCGGAAACGCCGGCACAAAAACCGAACAACUGUUAACAAUGGAUAUCUUGGUUCUC